AUUGAACGCUGGCGGCAUGCCUUACACAUGCAAGUCGAACGGCAGCACGGGGCAACCUGGUGGCGAGUGGCGAACGGGUGAGUAAUGCAUCGGAACGUGCCAUUGAGUGGGGGAUAACGUAGCGAAAGUUGCGCUAAUACCGCAUAUUCUGUGAGCAGGAAAGCAGGGGACCGCAAGGCCUUGCGCUCUUUGAGCGGCCGAUGUCAGAUUAGCUAGUUGGUGAGGUAACGGCUUACCAAGGCGACGAUCUGUAGCGGGUCUGAGAGGAUGAUCCGCCACACUGGAACUGAGACACGGUCCAGACUCCUACGGGAGGCAGCAGUGGGGAAUUUUGGACAAUGGGCGCAAGCCUGAUCCAGCCAUGCCGCGUGAGUGAAGAAGGCCUCGGU
Molecule: ribosomal RNA, 389 nt
Filed under: uncultured bacterium
Lineage: Bacteria
Description: bacterial SSU rRNA
Rfam family: Bacterial small subunit ribosomal RNA
Source: RNAcentral